AUUGAACGCUGGCGGCAGGCCUAACACAUGCAAGUCGAGCGGUAACAGAAAGUAGCUUGCUACUUUGCUGACGAGCGGCGGACGGGUGAGUAAUGCUUGGGAACAUGCCUUGAGGUGGGGGACAACAGUUGGAAACGACUGCUAAUACCGCAUAAUGUCUACGGACCAAAGGGGGCUUCGGCUCUCGCCUUUAGAUUGGCCCAAGUGGGAUUAGYUAGUUGGUGAGGUAAUGGCUCACCAAGGCGACGAUCCCUAGCUGGUUUGAGAGGAUGAUCAGCCACACUGGGACUGAGACACGGCCCAGACUCCUACGGGAGGCAGCAGUGGGGAAUAUUGCACAAUGGGCGCAAGCCUGAUGCAGCCAUGCCGCGUGUGUGAAGAAGGCCUUCGGGUUGUAAAGCACUUUCAGUCAGGAGGAAAGGUUAG
RNAcentral lists this ribosomal RNA (426 nucleotides) under gamma proteobacterium S-6. RNAcentral's name for it is "bacterial SSU rRNA". It matches the Rfam family "Bacterial small subunit ribosomal RNA", at positions 30 to 456 of the family's 1533-position model. Lineage: Bacteria; Pseudomonadati; Pseudomonadota; Gammaproteobacteria. The record is from RNAcentral.